This 419-nucleotide ribosomal RNA is filed under the name uncultured ammonia-oxidizing beta proteobacterium. Its description in RNAcentral is "bacterial SSU rRNA". It matches the Rfam family "Bacterial small subunit ribosomal RNA", at positions 197 to 597 of the family's 1533-position model. The record is from RNAcentral. Lineage: Bacteria; Pseudomonadati; Pseudomonadota; Betaproteobacteria.
UGGAGGAAAGCAGGGGAUCGUAAGACCUUGCGCUUUUGGAGUGGCCGAUGCCUGAUUAGCUAGUUGGUGGGGUAAAGGCCUACCAAGGCGACGAUCAGUAGUUGGUCUGAGAGGACGACCAGCCACACUGGGACUGAGACACGGCCCAGACUCCUACGGGAGGCAGCAGUGGGGAAUUUUGGACAAUGGGCGAAAGCCUGAUCCAGCAAUGCCGCGUGAGUGAAGAAGGCCUUCGGGUUGUAAAGCUCUUUCAGUCGAGAAGAAAAGAUUGUGAUGAAUAAUCACAGUUCAUGACGGUAUCGACAGAAGAAGCACCGGCUAACUACGUGCCAGCAGCCGCGGUAAUACGUAGGGUGCAGGCGUUAAUCGGAAUUACUGGGCGUAAAGGGUGCGCAGGCGGCUUUGUAAGUCAGAUGUGA